This is a long non-coding RNA of Gadus morhua (Atlantic cod), 1170 nucleotides long. Lineage: Eukaryota; Metazoa; Chordata; Actinopteri; Gadiformes; Gadidae. The record is from Ensembl.
AUGACGUUGUUGCACAGACAUCGAUGGCGACAACAUGUGUUUGUGAUUUUCGCGAUGCACCGUCCUCAACAUACUAAGCCCUAUGGAAGGGGAGAUUUGGAGGUACCUGGUCAGGUCUUGGUCAGCCUUCAAAUCCCAGAUGUGGAGACUGCAGGGAUACCUCACAGAGAAGACACUAAAGAGUCAACUCUCAUUCAUCAAGUGGACUCAUUGGUUUGCGAAUUAUCACAAAGAUGCUCCCAUAGGCAGAUUGCUGCAUGGCAUGCACCGCUUAUUCAAAUUGAAGAGGUUGAAGCAGUCUUCCUUGUGGUCACUUGCCAUAACAAUGUCAUGUGUUUUAUGAAAACACCAUCAGUAACAUUUAAAUUGAGUUAAUGUGGACGGCUCUUUUUUUUGUCCGAUUUCUUCAGUGUUCAGUGCCUGUUUGUGAGAUAUGCAUUGUUUGAAAGAUAAGCCUUUGAUUUUGUUUAAUUUUAAUAUGCCUUUCAUCAACAGUGGUUUGGGGUUUUAUAACAACAAUUAAAGUACUUAACUACUGGUGAACGAUGUUGCAGAACAUAUAUGGUUUGUGUUGAUUGCAUGGAAAAGGGAAUAACCAGUUACAACUUAUAUGGUAAGAGCCUGGUAAUACCAUGGAAACAAACGAGGCUUCCUUGUACAGUACAGUUUCAGCUUACUUACUGGGUAAAUUGUCGUGUUUUACUUGGUAACGUCGCAGAACGUACAUGGUACAAGUCUGUGUUGACUGCAUGUAAAAGGGAAUAAUGUAUUACAAAUUAUAUGGUAAGAACCUGGUAAUACCAAGGAAAUAAAUGAGGCUUCCUUUUACAGUACAGUUUCAGCUUAAUUACUGGGUAAAUUGUCGUGUUUUACUUGGUAACGUCGCAGAACGUACAUGGUACAAGUUUGUGUUGACUGCAUAGAAAAGGGAAUAAUGUAUUACAAAUUAUAUGGUAAGAACCUGGUAAUACCAUGGAAACAAACGAGGCUUCCUUUUACAGUACAGUUUCAGCUUAAUUACUGGGUAAAUUGACGUGUUUUACUUGGUAACGUCGCAGAACGUACAUGGUACAAGUUUGUGUUGACUGCAUGGAAAAGGGAAUAAUGUAUUACAAAUUAUCUGGUAAGAACCUGGUAAUACCAUGGAAACAAACGAGGCUUCCUUUUACA